GACGAACGCUGGCGGCGUGCUUAACACAUGCAAGUCGAGCGGUAAGGCCCUUUCGGGGGUACACGAGCGGCGAACGGGUGAGUAACACGUGGGUGACCUGCCCUCAGCUCUGGGAUAAGCCUGGGAAACUGGGUCUAAUACUGGAUAUGACUCCACGGUGCAUGUCGUGGGGUGGAAAGCCUUGUGCGGCUGAGGAUGGGCCCGCGGCCUAUCAGCUUGUUGGUGGGGUGANGGCCUACCAAGGCGACGACGGGUAGCCGGCCUGAGAGGGCGACCGGCCACACUGGGACUGAGACACGGCCCAGACUCCUACGGGAGGCAGCAGUGGGGAAUCUUGGACAAUGGGCNCAAGCCUGAUCCAGCCAUGCCGCGUGAGUGAAGAAGGCC
Molecule: ribosomal RNA, 387 nt
Filed under: uncultured bacterium
Lineage: Bacteria
Description: bacterial SSU rRNA
Rfam family: Bacterial small subunit ribosomal RNA
Source: RNAcentral